RNAcentral lists this ribosomal RNA (413 nucleotides) under uncultured microorganism. RNAcentral's name for it is "bacterial SSU rRNA". It matches the Rfam family "Archaeal small subunit ribosomal RNA", at positions 330 to 745 of the family's 1478-position model. The record is from RNAcentral.
GCGCAGCAGGCGCGAAACCUUCGCAAUGCGGGAAACCGCGACGAGGGGACUCCCAGUGCCUACGCUCAGCGUAGGCUGUUCCCGAGCCUAGAAAGCUCGGGGAGUAAGGGCUGGGUAAGACGGGUGCCAGCCGCCGCGGUAAUACCCGCAGCCCGAGUGGUGGCCACUAUUAUUGGGCCUAAAGCGUCCGUAGCCGGCCCGGUAAAUGCCUGGGUAAAUCGUGAGGCCUAACCUCACGAAUUCCGGGUAGACUGCCGGGCUAGGGACCGGAGGAGGGAGAGGGUACUCCAGGGGUAGGGGUGAAAUCCUGUAAUCCCUGGAGGACCACCGGUGGCGAAGGCGCUCUCCUAGGACGGGUCCGACGGUGAGGGACGAAAGCCAGGGGAGCGAACCGGAUUAGAUACCCGUGUAGU